CCCCUCCCACCAAAUCGUCGGCCCCUCUCUCUCACUUUUCUUCAUCAAACAAAUCCCCAAAUUGAGAAUUUACCAAACCCUAGCCCCUCUCCCUCCUUCCUCGGCGCACUUCGCCGCUGCACGGCCGCCAUCUCUCUCCCUACCUUUCUCCGAUUCUUCCCCUCGGCGUCUCGCGUUGGGUGCGGCCUGCUAAUGCGAAGCCGGUGCUGCCUCCGUCUCCAACCGACGCCGCGACUGUGUAGCCGCCUCCGUCGGGUCUCCCUCCGUCGAGCUAGACUCGGAGUUGGCCAAUCCCCGCCGACGCCUCCGUUUGCCGCCUCCCUUGCCGUCUCGGCACCAUCGAAGCAGAGAAGGGGGCGUCGCCCUUACGGUGGAACCGCCGUCACUAGCGCCUGUUUUCUCUUCUUCUCCGGCGAGACCGUUUCCAGACGCUCGACUAGUAGCCGCCGCCGAAGUCCAGCGGGGAGCCAUCCUUGCUCCGCGUCUCCCUUGUCGAUGUUGUUGUCCGGGCGUGAUUCGAGGCGCGCCAACACCGCUGCUGUGCGUGCGCGGCGGCUGACUGUCGCUGCUGUGCAUGCACAGGCAGCGGCUUCGCCGCCUCUCCUCCGCGACUCGCCAUUCUCCGACAGGUAAGAUUGGUCAAGGUUGUGAUAUUGUCAGUCGCUAGGGUGUGGGGCUGCCCUCCUCGUCUCUGGGCUGCCGUGAAUCUGUUUCCGGCAGAUUCAUACCCAUGAGAUAAGUUUCCCUAACUUGUGCUUUCUUUAGUUUGUCUAUUACAUAGAUUUGAAGACUUUGAGUAAUUAUCUUACUUGUUGGUGUAAUUUAGGACUCUAGUAUGUUGCGUUGUGUUUUGGUGUUGCAUAAAAGAAAUGUACUAAAGCUGUAAAUUCCUUAUCCUAAGCAUGAUGUUCACAACGAGGCAGGGGGUGUGCUAGUGUGUUUACUUGUUCUUCCAUUAUGUUAUCAUGUUGUUACGUUCUGAGAUGGUGGUGUUCUAAUUAUGCUUGCGGUAUAUAUAUGAA
RNA transcript from Salvia splendens (bonfire salvia), 1022 nucleotides. RefSeq lists it as uncharacterized. The transcript is spliced from 2 exons. The record is from RefSeq and is a predicted model, not a curated record. NCBI's taxonomy places the organism in Eukaryota, Viridiplantae, Streptophyta, Magnoliopsida, Lamiales, Lamiaceae.